AAUCUUGCAACUUGUUUGAGUAAUUAGUGGCAACCAGAGGCCCUGCACUUUCUUGAGACAACUCUCUCUACUACAACAACGUUCAUCCACAAUAAUUUGGAAGGAGCUCUGGGUCAAUUUGCUUGUGGCAAUUAACAGGGGAUUUCAACCGGUAUUUCUGGAUCCUGAAAUAUCUAAUCAACUGAAAACCUGCGAAGAACAGAUAACUCAUCCAUCUGCUGCCAGCAUGAACAGGCACUCCCUCUCCAACUUCUGGACAUCAGGCGCCAGGAUUUCUAACAAUUUCUUCUGUGCCACUCACUUCAUCUGAAUCAGGGUUAGGUAGGACACACAAGUUGCUGCUACACUACACUUAACGUUUGUAGGGGGUUUGUGUGUUGUUGAUCACCUUUGAACAGCCAGAUGCAGGUGCUGGUUCACUUGUAUCUGCCUAGUGAUAUUGGGAUUAUCAUGAUGUGGGAUAGACAGUUUAUUACAGAUCGGCGGUAUAUUUCGAUUUAGUCAAUGCGAUAUUCAUAGUAAGGUCUGUCAAUGCCUACGCAGUUUUAGGAAAGUGCAAACACACAAAAAUAUUAACUUCAACCGAAACGAUUCAGAUAGCUGCACGACGUCAGAGAAGUCGUCUCCUCAAGACAGCUCCUACCCAUACACAAAGUUUUCCGUAAAUGUAAAUUGUAUUUCGACAUAUCCAAAACAGCAUGAAAUAUGAAGAAUUAUGUAAAGAAAUACUCACGUAACGAUUCACUUCGCCUGGGGGAAAUUGCAAACAAAACCCAAGGCUCGAGGAUUACAUAAGUGUUGGUAAGGCAAAUAUCAAAACAAUUAGUGGAUUGUUCUAAACACCCAUCCGAAUGUAAAAGAAAUAUUAUAAAAGGGGC
This is a long non-coding RNA of Physcomitrium patens, 878 nucleotides long. RefSeq lists it as uncharacterized. Lineage: Eukaryota; Viridiplantae; Streptophyta; Bryopsida; Funariales; Funariaceae. The record is from RefSeq and is a predicted model, not a curated record.